This 248-nucleotide ribosomal RNA is filed under the name uncultured bacterium. RNAcentral describes it as "partial 16S ribosomal RNA". It matches the Rfam family "Bacterial small subunit ribosomal RNA", at positions 523 to 769 of the family's 1533-position model. The record is from RNAcentral.
AUACGUAGGUGGCAAGCGUUGUCCGGAGUUUAUCGGGCGUAAAGCGAGCGCAGGCGGUUUUUUAAGUCUGAUGUGAAAGCCUUCGGCUUAACCGAAGAAGGGCAUCGGAAACUGGGAGACUUGAGUGCAGAAGAGGAGAGUGGAACUCCAUGUGUAGCGGUGAAAUGCGUAGAUAUAUGGAAGAACACCAGUGGCGAAGGCGGCUCUCUGGUCUGUAACUGACGCUGAGGCUCGAAAGCGUGGGUAGC